RNAcentral lists this ribosomal RNA (254 nucleotides) under uncultured bacterium. RNAcentral describes it as "partial 16S ribosomal RNA". It matches the Rfam family "Bacterial small subunit ribosomal RNA", at positions 524 to 776 of the family's 1533-position model. The record is from RNAcentral.
UACGUAGGCAGCGAGCGUUGUUCGGAGUUACUGGGCGUAAAGGGUGUGUAGGCGGUUGUUUAAGUUUGGUGUGAAAUCUCCCGGCUCAACUGGGAGGGUGCGCCGAAUACUGAAUGACUUGGAGUGCGGGAGAGGAAAGUGGAAUUCCUGGUGUAGCGGUGAAAUGCGUAGAUAUCAGGAGGAACACCGGUGGUGUAGACGGCUUUCUGGACCGUAACUGACGCUGAGACACGAAAGCGUGGGUAGCAAACGGG